CUUCUCAGCAGGAACGAAACGGUACGCUCUAACAUAGCGUGCUAAUGACGGUACCUGCAGAAGAAGCACCGGCUAACUACGUGCCAGCAGCCGCGGUAAUACGUAGGGUGCGAGCGUUAAUCGGAAUUACUGGGCGUAAAGCGUGCGCAGGCGGAUUGUUAAGCAAGACGUGAAAUCCCCGGGCUUAACCUGGGAAUGGCGUUUUGAACUGGCAGUCUAGAGUGUGUCAGAGGGGGGUAGAAUUCCACGUGUAGCAGUGAAAUGCGUAGAGAUGUGGAGGAAUACCGAUGGCGAAGGCAGCCCCCUGGGAUAACACUGACGCUCAUGUACGAAAGCGUGGGUAGCAAACAGGAUUAGAUACCCUGGUAGUCCACGCCCUAAACGAUGUCAACUGGUUGUUGGGGGAGUGAAAUCCCUUAGUAACGAAGCCAACGCGUGAAGUUGACCGCCUGGGGAGUACGGUCGCAAGAUUAAAACUCAAAGGAAUUGACGGGGACCCGCACAAGCGGUGGAUGAUGUGGAUUAAUUCGAUGCAACGCGAAAAACCUUACCUACCCUUGACAUGUCCAGAAUCCUGCAGAGAUACGGGAGUGCCCGAAAGGGAAUUGGAACACAGGUGCUGCAUGGCUGUCGUCAGCUCGUGUCGUGAGAUGUUGGGUUAAGUCCCGCAACGAGCGCAACCCUUAUCAUUAGUUGCUACGCAAGGGCACUCUAAUGAGACUGCCGGUGACAAACCGGAGGAAGGUGGGGAUGACGUCAAGUCCUCAUGGCCCUUAUGGGUAGGGCUUCACACGUCAUACAAUGGUCGGUACAGAGGGUUGCCAAGCCGCGAGGUGGAGCCAUCCCAGAAAGCGAUCGUAGUCCGGAUUGUCUCUGCACUCGAGAGCAUGAGUCGGAUCGCU
Molecule: ribosomal RNA, 902 nt
Filed under: uncultured bacterium
Lineage: Bacteria
Description: bacterial SSU rRNA
Rfam family: Bacterial small subunit ribosomal RNA
Source: RNAcentral